Molecule: microRNA precursor, 78 nt
Filed under: Schistosoma margrebowiei
Lineage: Eukaryota; Metazoa; Platyhelminthes; Trematoda; Strigeidida; Schistosomatidae
Description: mir-3492 microRNA precursor family
Rfam family: mir-3492 microRNA precursor family
Source: Rfam by way of RNAcentral
AGCUUUUCGAAUCUUUGCUGAGAUUUCGUCAAACACCAAUUCAUUAACGCUGAUCAGACUUCCAAGAUAAGUGAAUUC